This 156-nucleotide ribosomal RNA is filed under the name Cytidiella albida. Its description in RNAcentral is "Phlebia albida 5.8S ribosomal RNA". It matches the Rfam family "5.8S ribosomal RNA". From Rfam's summary of the family: 5.8S ribosomal RNA (5.8S rRNA) is a component of the large subunit of the eukaryotic ribosome. It is transcribed by RNA polymerase I as part of the 45S precursor that also contains 18S and 28S rRNA. Functionally, it is thought that 5.8S rRNA may be involved in ribosome translocation. Lineage: Eukaryota; Fungi; Basidiomycota; Agaricomycetes; Polyporales; Irpicaceae. The record is from RNAcentral.
CAACUUUCAGCAGCGGAUCUCUUGGCUCUCGCAUCGAUGAAGAACGCAGCGAAAUGCGAUAAGUAAUGUGAAUUGCAGAAUUCAGUGAAUCAUCGAAUCUUUGAACGCACCUUGCGCUCCUUGGUAUUCCGAGGAGCAUGCCUGUUUGAGUGUCAU